Long non-coding RNA from Mizuhopecten yessoensis (Yesso scallop), 3003 nucleotides. RefSeq lists it as uncharacterized. The record is from RefSeq and is a predicted model, not a curated record. The transcript has 7 exons. NCBI's taxonomy places the organism in Eukaryota, Metazoa, Mollusca, Bivalvia, Pectinida, Pectinidae.
UCUUCCCCACAGGUAUUGCAUUGGUAGCUGUACACACAUAUAUAUGUGUAAUCGAGUUAUACGGACCAGGAAGUUCGGACCCCGUAUUUGACAUGAUAUGUUUCUGCAGUGUUAAUGUGUCUGUUUGCGAAAAACUACAACAUCGGAAUCUCACGGAGAACGCCGUAUAUACUGUAUUUACAUGACGGAUAAUAAGCCCGACAUGUUAUUUCUAUUGCUCACAUUACUAGCAUCGUCAGAUGCUGUCACAUUGAACGGGUCGUCUGAGUACGCUGUCCUCGGGAGUGAGUUUACACUGACGUGUGACGUACCAGAUGAGGGAAACAGUGUCCAGUUGUACCGCCGUCCUGACGUGACUGCUAUACUAGGUAGAAUACAAAUAGCUGGUGGUCAGUGUUACAACACCACUACUACUCCUGUCCUCUGUAGCCCGGAUAGCUGUUUCUGUACUACCACCUAGACUCUCUAUGGUACAGUGUUCCAGUGGGUCAUACAGCCACAGACAGGAGACCAUGGAUCUGUGUGGGUUUGUCGUCGUAACAACCCAAGUCUACCUGUCGCUGUUGUAGCCAGUCCUGACUACACACUUAACGUGGCAGGUAUCGGUGUAUAGUUGACAGCGACCCCCUCCCGUGUCACAGAGGGAGGAUCACUCAACCUGACGUGUUUGGUGACAGAGAACAGCUCUGUGUUUGCCACGUUUAAUUAUGAGGAUGCGACACUCAUUGGAUCAAUACAGCUGUCAGGAGGACAGUGUUUAGCUAGUACAGCCAAUACCCGUACCCAGCAGGGUACCUGUACCACAGACGGUAAAUCCUUCUCCUGGACCAUCUCCAGUGUGACCAGGUCCUGGGACAGGGCACGGGUCAGAUGUCAGGUUUCCAAUCCAACAUCUUCAAUCAGUGAUAUCAUCGCCGUCAGUGUGUUAUACCCUCCUACUCCACCAAUCAUCAUUCAGCUCAACACCAGCAAUUUACCAGGAUUAGGCGAGUACAUGGAAUUAUCGUGCAAUUACUCCGAAGGUAAUCCCUAUCCAGCAAGCGUUGAGUGGUUCCGAGAUGGUCUACCUACAGGACUAAAUGGGACUGAUAUUGUAAUUGGACCUCUCCUUCCAGCAGAUAAUGGCGUUGGCUAUUCCUGCCGCGUACGGAAUAUAUUCACAGACUUAAAGAUGGUGAACCUGACCUCACCCACAUAUAUCCUCGUCGUGGCAUGUAAGUAUAUACCACAAUUCAUACCAAUCAAGUAUGAUUUUAUUAAUUAUUUCACUUUUAAAAUUAUUGCCAUGGCUAAAUAUCAUUUCUUUGAGUAACUUUCUAAAAUACUCAGAAUUGUUUAAUUGUUCACGUACAGAAAUGAAAAUUAUUGCAAACCUUCCUCAGUAUUAAUGAACGCCGGAGAUCUGUGGAUCUAUAUUUAAUCAAAACAACAUACCAUGACUUAUACCGACCGGUUGUCAAAGAUAUAUUUAUGAUAUACUGACCCGAAACAAAUGAUAAAAAUGCAUUGUACUAGUGUCUGUAGCUUCGUUUUAAGUGUUUGUUUUGCUUGUGUAAAUAUAUACUGCACUGCCAGCAAACCGUCUACUAUCUGCCAGGUGCUUUGUUAAAGUAAUUGAGUCAAAUGUAUGUAUUGUGAGCUGUUGUUUCAAUAAUAAACAUUGUUUCGUUUGUUAUAUAUUUUUUAUGAAUAAUUAGUCUCAUACAGUUGGUAGUCCUUUAGUUAGUAAAUACGGCUAAGCUGAUUAAAAGUCCCUGUUUCUAUAUUGUUGUCAAAUGAUAGAAACACCAUAACAGAUUGUGUUUGUUAACCAAUAAAUAGACCUGAAUUCAUUUUAAUUUCUGAUCAACUUACACUUUCGUAUAUUAUAUUACUAGUUUAGUGACAUAGCGAUUUUUGAUGGUGGUUAAUUUUAGGUGUCAGAUUAUAUAUAAUCUUGCGAAAAUACUUGUUGUUACAUUGUGGUCACAAUUUAGUAAAAUACGUUGGUUAUUCCACGAGAUACACUAGACCAGCCAGUUUCAUAUUUGUAGAUGAUGUUCAUUUCUUAGUGAGUUUAGUUUUAUAUAACAAUAUAGUAUGCAUUGAUUACUUACCACGCAUUAAUAAUACAAGUAGUGUGAAUUUCAUGUGAAAGGUUAUUCCGGUAUUUCUAUUUCAAUCAUGACAUGAAAUCAUUAAUAAUAUACAUGCUAUUUUAUUUCAGGUUUGACGUAUGAUAUAUUGUAACACGAUGCUAUGUAAUAUGGUCAGACGAUUCAUACACGUCCUUUAUGAUAAAAUACAUAAUCUAUGUGACAAUUUUGCUUAUAAUGUAACACAAUUUUGAUAACUAUACUACUUUGUGUUUUUUGUGACGUUUUUGUCAUGUUUCGUGUUGUCUGUGUUGAUUUGUCUUUACCGUAAAGUAUUGUGUCGUCUAAACAUGUAUUUGUGAUGUUGCUGAAAGUUUGUGUUAGAGUGAACAAAUGAGUGGUUUUAUUGGGUNGGGGGGGGGGGGGGGGGGGGGGGGUUGUAUUGUUUUCGAAGAUUAGGAGGACGGUUUGGAUAAAUACCAGUGAGCGACUUCAACACCAACAUAACCAACAUUUCACAAACGAUGUCAAUGCUAUUUCAACGGCUGUUUUCUGAUAGACCGUUUAUGGUAACGUGACGUGCAGACCUUAAUGAUACUGGUCAACCUGACAAUGGAUGGAUCAGCUACUCCUUGUUAAAAAGGUGUUUCUCCAACAUGCAUCUGUUGACGGGCUACUCACGGAAACCCUAGUAUGUGGAUAUAAAGAUAAAGAAAAAGAGUGUGAUGAUAACAGUCAUGUGAUCUAGGCAGUAAACCCUUCCGAAUCACCAAAUAUGUAACAAUGCCAGAGAUCUUGGCAUGGGAAACGGACUUUUUCAAAUACUAAAUGUAUUAAUUGUUGGUAUAAACAGCAAAAGGAUGUCUGUUUCCUCAACAUUAAAAAAAGAACAGAAAUAUGACAAUUUUAUGUAAAAUUUAGAACAAAA